GUUUGAUUUUAUAUAUUUAAUUUAAUCCCUCUUCGUGAUCUCAUAUACAUUCCAUUUAUUUGAAGUUAAACUUUUGUUUCGUGGUCAAUGAUACAUUUCAUAUUUGUGUGAGUUUGAGCAGCUGUUACAUUACAGCAUACAAUCUGAUGUCAUUACUUACAAUUUUAUUAUGUACAAGUUCAUAGGCACUGUUUUUGAAUCAAUGUUUUGCGUAUUGGUCAGAAAACAAAUGAAGGGUAAAUUAGAGAAGUUGUAAAUGUAGAAACAGUCUUGACUUUUUUGCAUGGUUGUGCAGUUUGUUGUCAUCUCUUUAUCUGGUUGGGGUCAGCUUUUCUUUAGUGGAUACAAGUUCUUCACUAGAGGCAAAGGCAAGAAGGAAGAGGUAUGUUUUUAUACUCUGAACUUUUCUUGUCAUUUGAUUGAAAUCUCUGCAAUCUUUUGUUUUCAAUGGUACAUAGAUGCUGGAAGUCAAGGAAUGGCUGCCGGGAGUAUUGAUCAAAAUUUUCUUUUCUAGAGAAUCCUUUAGGUCAAUGUUCGUCGUGGCUGUCAUGUUGAGUCAGGCAUAUCCGAUUUCGUUGGAGAUGUUUCUACUUUAAACUUUCUGAUUGACUAUAUUGUUUAAUAUUUUACAGAUUUUGCCAAAAGUUUAUUUAAUGGUAAAUUUUACAUCUAUAAAUCGGUUAAGGUCAUUCUAUCACACUAAUUCUCAGUUCACUCAAUCACCUUGGUAUGAAUAAUAUUAUCUGCAGUGAAUACCCAAAUCCAUAAAUUAGAGCUUUCAGGAUAAUUUAUACUUUAUGGUAAAAAGUCGGGUUUGGAUUAUUUUGGAUUUGAAUCAUUUCAGAUUUAAGUUGGGUUUGGAUUCAAGUUCAGGCAGGUUUUUAGGUUUAGGUUAGCUUUGGCAGCUAGUCUCCAUUGGGAUGACCCUAUUUUAUUAUCUAUCAGCAAAUUGAUAAUAGGGGUGCUGAACAAUUUUUAAAAGCAUGAUGGAAUGCCUAAGCAUGCAUUAGAUUUGACAUUAUUGUUGCAUCUAUUAUGGCUUCUCCCCUCAUUUUAACUUUUGUUUUGUUGCAGAACUUGGUGGAAACAGCAUCGUAACGAGGUUAUAGCUUUUAUUUUUUUUAAAUAUGCCCAUUAAUAAUGUGUGGCUAGAACUAUGAGUGAGCAAACUUGGAGGUUAGUUCCUUUUCAGUGAACGAACGGCCUAUUUCUUUGGUUUGUCCUGUUUAGAAUGGGAUAUAUCCAUUUUUAAGACCCAAAAUCUGUUAUGGAUUUGAAAUGUUAAUGAGCAUGUUGUCAUGAUUUGACUUGACCCUAUGCUCAUCCAUGAAUUCUGAUGGAAAA
RNAcentral lists this long non-coding RNA (1344 nucleotides) under Durio zibethinus. RNAcentral's name for it is "long non-coding RNA (DZIB_LNC000749)". Lineage: Eukaryota; Viridiplantae; Streptophyta; Magnoliopsida; Malvales; Malvaceae. The record is from RNAcentral.